RNAcentral lists this ribosomal RNA (260 nucleotides) under uncultured archaeon. RNAcentral's name for it is "partial 16S ribosomal RNA". It matches the Rfam family "Archaeal small subunit ribosomal RNA", at positions 748 to 1008 of the family's 1478-position model. The record is from RNAcentral.
AGGGUGUAAACGCUGCAGACUUGGUGUUGGAGGCCCUUUGGGGGCAUUCAGUGCCGGAGAGAAGUUGUUAAGUCUGCUACUUGGGGAGUACGUCCGCAAGGAUGAAACUUAAAGGAAUUGGCGGGGGAGCACCGCAACGGGGGGAGCGUGCGGUUUAAUUGGAUUCAACACCGUAAACUCACCAGGGAAGACUGUUACAUGAAGGCCGAGAUGAAGACUCUGCUAGAUUUUCAGAGAGGUGGUGCAUGGCGUCAGUGACU